CCCAACUAUCCCUAUUAAUCAUUACGGUGAUUCAGAAACCAACAAAACAGGACCACCGUCCUAUUCUAUUAUUCCAUGCUAAUGUAUUCAGACGUAAGCCUGCUUUGAACACUCUAAUUUUUUCAAGGUAAAGGUCCUGGUUUCCCACCACGCUAAAUUAAUAACAUGAUGGUUCUCCAGAAGGUAGGAAUUUUACACGCUAGUACAGACUGGUUAGCCCGACCAACGGUAGAACCCCGAAAUUCAACUACGAGCUUUUUAACUGCAACAACUUUAAUAUACGCUAUUGGAGCUGGAAUUACCGCGGCUGCUGGCACCAGACUUGCCCUCCAA
RNAcentral lists this unclassified non-coding RNA (333 nucleotides) under uncultured Gigasporaceae. Its description in RNAcentral is "sequence contains 18S rRNA gene". Lineage: Eukaryota; Fungi; Glomeromycota; Glomeromycetes; Diversisporales; Gigasporaceae. The record is from RNAcentral.